GUGGGGAAUAUUGGGCAAUGGGGGAAACCCUGACCCAGCGACGCCGCGUGAGGGAAGAAGGCCUUAGGGUCGUAAACCUCUGUUGUGUGGGAAGAAGAGCGUGACGGUACCACACGAGGAAGUCCCGGCUAACUACGUGCCAGCAGCCGCGGUAAUACGUAGGGGACGAGCGUUGUCCGGAUUUACUGGGCGUAAAGGGCGCGUAGGCGGUCAUUUAAGCCAGCUGUGAAAUGGUUUGGCUUAACCGGAUCAUGCGGUUGGAACUGUAUGACUGGAGUGCUGGAGAGAGAAGUGGAAUUCCCAGUGUAGCGGUGAAAUGCGUAGAGAUUGGGAAGAACACCGGUGGCGAAGGCGACUUGCUGGCCAGCAACUGACGCUGAGGCGCGAAAGCCAGGGGAGCAAACGGGAUUAGAUACCCUUGUAGUCC
This 427-nucleotide ribosomal RNA is filed under the name uncultured bacterium. RNAcentral's name for it is "partial 16S ribosomal RNA". It matches the Rfam family "Bacterial small subunit ribosomal RNA", at positions 354 to 796 of the family's 1533-position model. The record is from RNAcentral.